CUAUCUCCAGGAAGCGUUCUGGGCUUUUCCUGUUGUGCAGUGUGGAAGUGCUCUAUCUUCAUUCAUAUCAAGGAAAGUCAAAGGACAAACUAAAGCCGGCAGCGUCUUUCUGGCUUCCUAGUCAGGCUGUUCGGUAGCGGAGUGUCACCCUGAUUUCCAGCCCCGCAGCACACACAGUGAGAGCCUGCCUGGCGUGAUUCAGAGGCAACGUAUUUCCCAAGGUGGCUGUGAAGGAACCAGGGGGAUAAACACAGCCCGUGAACCGCACGCCAGAGGACAGGUCCGGCUGCCUGCCGCGGAGUCGUCACGGCGUGUCGCGUCUGAGCGCUUCUCCAAAGCACCCAAGUGGCACCCGGGGUGACAGUUACAUCAUCUUGAGUACAGUUCUCUCAAGGAAAAAGCAAGCCCAGCAUCUUCUGCCAUGGCAACCCUGGCUUGGAGCCUCCAUAAGAGAGAAGGCCCUAAGAAUAAUACCAUUUUCUUGCUCUAAGUUGCUCUUACGGGAAAGAAGUGAUAAUAUUCUUCCUAAACGCCAUCAUUCGUGCAUCCUUCCCACCUAUAUGUGUCACCGGAUCAUUCUCCGCCUGGGCGGGGCCGUCCUGUGCACUGCAGAAUGCUGAGCAGUGUCCUUGGCUUCGACCGACCACAUGCCAGGAGCACCCCAAUUUCUGCCAUCGGGUGAUUGACUUCACUGUUGCAUUUGAUUUUUUAUGUAUCUUUUAAAAGGACCCAAUAGGGCCAGGCACAGUGGCUCACACUUGUAAUCCCAGCACUUUGGGAGGCUGAGGUCGGUGGAUUGCUUGAGCCCAGGAGGAGUUCAAGACCAGCCUGGGCAACAUAGUGAAACCCCAACUCUACAAAAAACAAAUGUUUUAUUUUUAUUUAUUUUAGAUGGAGUUUCACUCUUGUUGCCCAGGCUGGAGUGCAGUGGCGCAAUCUCGGCUCACUGCAACUUCUGCCUCCCGGGUUCAAGCGAUUCUCCUGCCUCAGCCUCCUGAGUAUCUGGGAUUACAGGCAUGCGCCACCACACCCAGCUAAUUUUGUAUUUUUAGUAGAGAUGGCGUUUCUCCAUGUUGGUCAGGCUGGUCUCAAACUCCCGACCUCAGGUGAUCUGCCUGCCUCGGCCUCCCAGAGUGUUGGGAUUACAGGCGUGAGCCACCACGCCCAGCCGGGUUUAUAGUUUUAUAACCCUUAUGACAAAUCUCAUAGUAUUCUGCAGGGAUAAGCAUGAAACCACUCGUUCAAUAAGUGCAAACAAAAACGCCAACAAUUCUUAAGACAUUUCUAAUCUUAUUUUACCAAUAAUUUUAAAGCCAGCUUAUGUAUUAAAGAUUUAUAACUACUUUUAUUAACACGUUUAAAAUUCUAUGCAGCUUAAAGCAUUUAUAAUGGAUAAAACUGCCAAUACUGAGUGCCUGACAUAAUAUUUGAAAGGUGGCAGGCAUUCAACCAUGGUCACUGAAUGAGAGAUGUAGGGAAGAUGAUGGCAGGGAGGUUUUUAGAUAUCAACACCCUGAUAGUUCUCAUUUUAACCACCUGUAAGUGCACAUACAAGUCAACGGCACUG
RNAcentral lists this long non-coding RNA (1567 nucleotides) under Homo sapiens (human). Its description in RNAcentral is "non-protein coding lnc-RDH13-1:7". The record is from RNAcentral. Lineage: Eukaryota; Metazoa; Chordata; Mammalia; Primates; Hominidae.